Molecule: ribosomal RNA, 253 nt
Filed under: uncultured bacterium
Lineage: Bacteria
Description: partial 16S ribosomal RNA
Rfam family: Bacterial small subunit ribosomal RNA
Source: RNAcentral
UACAGAGGUCUCAAGCGUUGUCCGGAAUUAUUGGGCCUAAAGCAUCCGUAGCCGGCCUUACAAGUCCUCCGUUAAAUCCAGCUGCUUAACAGAUGGGCUGCGGAGGAUACUAUAAGACUAGGAGGCAGGAGAGGCAAGCGGUACUCAGUGGGUAGGGGUAAAAUCCGUUGAUCCAUUGAAGACCACCAGUGGCGAAGGCGGCUUGCCAGAAUGCGCUCGACGGUGAGGGAUGAAAGCUGGGGGAGCAAACCGG